GAUGAAGAACGCAGUGAAAUGCGAUAACUAGUGUGAAUUGCAGAAUUCCGUGAAUCAUCGAGUCUUUGAACGCACAUUGCGCCCCCUGGUAUUCCGGGGGGCAUGCCUGUCCGAGCGUCAUUGCUGCCCAUCAAGCACGGCUUGUGUGUUGGGUCGUCGUCCCCUCUCCGGGGGGGACGGGCCCCAAAGGCAGCGGCGGCACCGCGUCCGAUCCUCGAGCGUAUGGGGCUUUGUCACCCGCUCUGUAGGCCCGGCCGGCGCUUGCCGAACGCAAAUCAAUCUUUUUCCAGGUUGACCUCGGAUCAGGUAGGGAUACCCGCUGAACUUAAGCAUAUCAAUAAGCGGAGGA
Molecule: unclassified non-coding RNA, 349 nt
Filed under: soil metagenome
Description: partial contains 5.8S ribosomal RNA, internal transcribed spacer 2, and large subunit ribosomal RNA
Rfam family: 5.8S ribosomal RNA (bases 1-120)
Source: RNAcentral